Molecule: non-coding RNA, 978 nt
Organism: Camellia sinensis
Lineage: Eukaryota; Viridiplantae; Streptophyta; Magnoliopsida; Ericales; Theaceae
Source: RefSeq, a predicted model, not a curated record
UUAGGAACAAAGCAAUUACUGUGGCGUUCCAUCAAAUAAGCAUCACCCAAUCAAGAAUUUAAUCAGUAAAUCUUCACGGUUGAAUUCCAGUGAGAAAAUAAAACCCAAACCAAGCAAUGGAAAUCGAAAAGGAAAUGCUAGAUCAAAAAUAAAGCCCUUCAAGCUUCGCACAGAGCAAAAGGGAAGAUUCAAAGAGGAAGAAUUCGUCAAGAAAUUACAACAAAUGAUGAUGGAGGAGGAAAAGCAACGGAUACCAAUUGCACAAGGUCUCCCAUGGACAACAGAUGAGCCAAAGUGCUUAGUAAAACCUGCCGUCAAAGAAAUCACAAGACCGGUUGAUUUGGUGUUGCAUAGCGAUGUGAGGGCUGUGAAGCGUGCUGAGUUUGACCAAUAGCUGGCUGAGAAGAUGAGCCUUAUUGAACAGUACAGGGAGAAAAGGGAAAGACAGCAAAAGUUAGAAGAAGAAGAGGAAAUCAGGAGACUAAGAAAGGAGCUCAUUCCAAGAGCUCAACUCAUGCCCUAUUUCGACAGGACUUUCAUCCCUAGAAGGUACCAGAUAAAAUCCAGAAUUUUUAAAAACUUCUUUUGCUAUACAUGGCUUUCCAUUUGAAUAUGGAUAACCAAAAAACCUACUAAAUAGAGAAAUUAUGUAGUAGGUUUGGCCUAUAGGACACAUGGUGUGUCUUUUCAAUAUUAGAAAAACAUAUGAUCCACUUGUUUCUAUUUUCUAUACAAGAAGAUAUCAUGUCUAUUUUGGUGGGCACGGCAAGCUGAACCUACCAGAUAACUUCUCAUACUAAAGACUUCAAAUAGACCCUCUCCUUCAAAUGAUUCUUAAAAAGCAAUAUGUAGUUUGUAUACAUUGCUUUCUUUCUUCUUUUUUUAUAUACAUUUUUUUCCCCUCAGUGUCACUUACUGUAGGUUCAACUUUUCCAGCACAUUUUAUUGAUCAGGUGUUGUUUGGAUCUCCAAUUUUGU